CCGAGUGAGGGCCUCUGAGGCCCGACCUCCAACCCUUUGUAAUCCAAACCUCUGUUGCCUCGGGGGCGACCUGCGCUUCACGGCGUCGGGCCCCCGACGGACCACUUCAAAACACUGCAUCUUUGCGUCGGAUUAAAAAAGUUAAUAAUCA
Molecule: unclassified non-coding RNA, 151 nt
Filed under: uncultured Capnodiales
Lineage: Eukaryota; Fungi; Ascomycota; Dothideomycetes; Capnodiales
Description: sequence contains ITS1
Source: RNAcentral